ACAGGAGUGAAUAUCGAUUUCACAGUCAUGGUUUGUCCAUGAAAUCUCUUCGCGCCGGACAACCAUCCAAGCGAACGACGUCAUGGUUUAUAAGCCGUCUGCGGCACAGUAGCCACAGUGCAUGCUGCUUGUGCGCACAUACUGCGCAGCGGCCCAUUCCCUUCAACUCCAGUAUCGUGGAACAUGCAACACUGCUGCUAUAGACAAGCCGGAUGCUGAUGGAUCGCUUGUCUACUGUACCCGGCAACAUCCCUUUGGUCACACAUCAUCUCCAAUAUCACCCAAAUCGGGUAUAUUGUGCUCCUGUCUUACUCCAUGUGCAGUAUUCGGGAGAUCCAAAUGCACGCAGUCGUAGUAGGUACAUGAUUGGGUUGUGGCUUUGGUACAGAGUCAGUGGGUUCUCCUGGACGAUCAUUGGGCCCUGGUGCUCGAAAUGUCGCUGCUAUUCACGAAGUGAAGACGACGCUACGUUGCCAAUGUCCUAUCAUGACUCACAAUCCAGAUGGGAUAACUCGUACAUCUGGACGAAUAGACCGUCUUGGAAUCAUGGAUGGAACCCCCGUGCGACCCACAGCCAUUCUGUAAAAAUAGGUGCCGACACUCUGCAUCUUGACACCAUAGCAGAACGAUCUUUUAGAAGCAUCCUACCAGCAAGUACAAGUACAGUAUAUUGAGCAAAGUACUUCUACUUCUAGUUACAACGAUCUGGAGUAUUUUGGGCGACGCUUAGAUUAUAAUACAAAUGUAACCGAGACCCGGACUGUUC
Molecule: unclassified non-coding RNA, 766 nt
Filed under: Yarrowia lipolytica
Lineage: Eukaryota; Fungi; Ascomycota; Dipodascomycetes; Dipodascales
Source: RNAcentral